This 253-nucleotide ribosomal RNA is filed under the name uncultured bacterium. RNAcentral describes it as "partial 16S ribosomal RNA". It matches the Rfam family "Bacterial small subunit ribosomal RNA", at positions 524 to 776 of the family's 1533-position model. The record is from RNAcentral.
UACAGAGGUCUCAAGCGUUGUUCGGAUUCAUUGGGCGUAAAGGGUGCGUAGGCGGCGCGGUAAGUCGGGUGUGAAAUCUCGGAGCUUAACUCCGAAACUGCAUUCGAUACUGCCGUGCUUGAGGACGGGAGAGGAGACUGGAAUUUACGGUGUAGCGGUGAAAUGCGUAGAUAUCGAGAGGAACACCGGUGGCGAAGGCGGCGAUCUGGACGAUGACUGACGCUGAGACGCGAAAGCGUGGGGAGCAAACAGG